This 791-nucleotide ribosomal RNA is filed under the name Domibacillus iocasae. RNAcentral describes it as "bacterial SSU rRNA". It matches the Rfam family "Bacterial small subunit ribosomal RNA", at positions 90 to 866 of the family's 1533-position model. Lineage: Bacteria; Bacillati; Bacillota; Bacilli; Caryophanales; Bacillaceae. The record is from RNAcentral.
AGUCAGCGGCGGACGGGUGAGUAACACGUGGGCAACCUGCCUAUCAGAUUGGGAUAACUCCGGGAAACCGGGGCUAAUACCGAAUAACAUCGAAAACCUCAUGGUUUUCUUUUGAAAGGCGGCUUCGGCUGUCACUGCUGGAUGGACCCGCGGCGCAUUAGCUAGUUGGUGGGGUAACGGCUCACCAAGGCAACGAUGCGUAGCCGACCUGAGAGGGUGAUCGGCCACACUGGGACUGAGACACGGCCCAGACUCCUACGGGAGGCAGCAGUAGGGAAUCUUCCGCAAUGGACGAAAGUCUGACGGAGCAACGCCGCGUGAGUGAAGAAGGUUUUCGGAUCGUAAAACUCUGUUGUCAGGGAAGAACAAGUAUGGGAGUAACUGCCCGUACCUUGACGGUACCUGGCCAGAAAGCCACGGCUAACUACGUGCCAGCAGCCGCGGUAAUACGUAGGUGGCAAGCGUUGUCCGGAAUUAUUGGGCGUAAAGCGCGCGCAGGCGGCCUUUUAAGUCUGAUGUGAAAGCCCCCGGCUCAACCGGGGAGGGUCAUUGGAAACUGGAAGGCUUGAGUGCAGAAGAGAAGAGCGGAAUUCCACGUGUAGCGGUGAAAUGCGUAGAGAUGUGGAGGAACACCAGUGGCGAAGGCGGCUCUUUGGUCUGUAACUGACGCUGAGGCGCGAAAGCGUGGGGAGCGAACAGGAUUAGAUACCCUGGUAGUCCACGCCGUAAACGAUGAGUGCUAAGUGUUGGGGGGUUUCCGCCCCUCAGUGCUGCAGCUAACGCAUUAAGCA